ACAACACCAACAACAACAUGUUAAUCCAUAACAAUUGUUUUGUAUAAAUAAUUAAAUUGUUUAACCAGCCACUAACAUUCCUUGUUGCAUUGUUAAGCUGGUGAGAAAGAUGAAAAUUUACGCUCUAAUUGCUGUUAUCCUGGCCUUGGCUGCUGUGGCCUCGGGUAAUCCCAAUCCCAGACCUGGUGGUGGAGGAGGCGGUGGCGGAGGUGGUGGUGCCGGAGGAGGUGGUGGCGGCGGAGGUGGUGG
Molecule: long non-coding RNA, 249 nt
Organism: Musca domestica (house fly)
Lineage: Eukaryota; Metazoa; Arthropoda; Insecta; Diptera; Muscidae
Exons: 2
Source: RefSeq, a predicted model, not a curated record